AUUGAACGCUGGCGGCAUGCCUAACACAUGCAAGUCGAACGAGAAAGGGGGGCAACCCCUGAGUAGAGUGGCGGACGGGUGAGUAAUACGUAGGAAUCUACCCUUAAGUGGGGGGUAACCCGAGGAAACUCGGGCUAAUACCGCAUAACCUCUUCGGAGCAAAGGGGCCUAGCAAUAGGUCUCGCUUUUGGAUGAGCCUACGCCGGAUUAGCUAGUUGGUAGAGUAAUAGCCUACCAAGGCGACGAUCCGUAGCUGGUUUGAGAGAACGACCAGCCACACUGGGACUGAGAUACGGCCCAGACUCCUACGGGAGGCUG
This 318-nucleotide ribosomal RNA is filed under the name uncultured Pseudomonadota bacterium. RNAcentral describes it as "bacterial SSU rRNA". It matches the Rfam family "Bacterial small subunit ribosomal RNA", at positions 30 to 351 of the family's 1533-position model. The record is from RNAcentral. Lineage: Bacteria; Pseudomonadati; Pseudomonadota.